This 964-nucleotide long non-coding RNA is filed under the name Ovis aries (sheep). RNAcentral's name for it is "lncRNA (ENSOARG00000026901.1)". Lineage: Eukaryota; Metazoa; Chordata; Mammalia; Artiodactyla; Bovidae. The record is from RNAcentral.
AACUUGUUAGCUUGACAUGAGACCAUCCCCAUCCUACGUCCAAGCCAUGCUAAACCUAAAUGUCUCUAACCUAACCUAACUUUAAUGACUCUAGACUCUCCUCACAUCCCUGCAUAAGGUCUCCCUCACAUAUCCAUCUUCUGCCUCCCCAGCCAGCAGGUCUCAAUCACUUUUCAAAGCCAAGGUCAAACAUCAGUCCUAGAGGACAGGUUUUUCUGAUUUCCUCAAGCAGAGUUGGUCAUUCCUUCUAAAUUAGAUUCUAAAAAAAAAAAAAAAAAUGUUCAUGACAUUUAUCACUGCUCUUAUAUACUCGUUGGAAAUUUGUUUUCACUGUUUCCUCUAGGAGACUGUGAGCUCCUCGAGGACAGGGCUGGGGUCCUCUUUGCAGUUCUCAGGCUGAGUGCAGUGUCGAGAAUACCAAGAGCCCUCUGCAUGCAGUCUGGAAGGAGGAAUGAGGCAUGGAUUAAUUUUUCUGGGCCAGAUUGGAGCUUCAGUUUCCUCCACAUUUUUGCAGGAUGGAGUGAGUGGACUAAAUGCAGGUACUGCUGCCAAUGACUUGUGUUGUCUUGCCUACGAAUGGCUGGGGUAGAGGAGGUUGUCCUCCUCACAGCCUUUGUCUCUGUCCCUCUCGUACACACACACACACACAUUUUCUCUAUACUGAAACUGUAUUUUAGACAAAUUAAAGGACUGUUUUAUGAAAUUUCUCUCUGAAAAACAUAAACAAGAAAUUGGAAAAAAAAUUUAAAAAAAGAAGUUAAAACACGAAAUUUCCCUAUGCUUGUAAAAUGCUUUGGUGUAUUGCUGGGUGACAGAUAUGUCCCUUGACACGUUAUUUUUCCUUCAAAGGAAAAACUGAAACUAACUCCCAUAAUGGGUGAAUGAUUCAGUAUAUUAUAAACAUACUUAUAUGACUGGGCCUUUGUGCAACUAUUAGAGAUGUUCACAGAGGGAUUUUUUAAUG